UUCUAAUAGAGAUAAAAUAAUUUAUUUAAUUUUCAAAAUGUCCACUCAAAAAACAGGGCAAAACUAUGUUGCAACAGUGGUAUGGUACCACAGUUGCAACCGGCUAUUGGAUCUAUAGUUGUAUACUUGUAUUAGCAAGAUCUAAUGGCUGAAAGCAACAGUGGUACAGUACCACUGUUGCAACAUAGUUGGACCCCAAAAAACAACGAAACAAUAACAAAAUAUUUAAAAAAAACUUAUGAUAUUAAAUAAAUAUUUAUAACCAUUAGAUAAAUUAUACUAAACAGACAUUAACAUAUAAUUUUUUAUUUUGAUCAAUUAUCUUAUCUCAAAAGGUAUCGAAAGAACAAAUACAAAUGCCACCCCCAGUCAAAUUACUAUUUGUUCAAAACCUUGAUCAUUAUAAAUUCCACUUUCCGUUACAAGUUCGCACUUUUUCAUUACACCUCAUUUAAUUUUUGUCAUAAACUUCAAAUUUUAGUUUUAAAAAUGUCAAGAAACGGAAUCGCCCUCCCUCUCUAAACAUACGCCUAAUCUUGCACAAAAAGACACCAAAAUUCAACCGAAUUUGCCAGGAAAGAAAUAUAACAUUUCGAUCGUUGACAAUGAAGGCAAAUAAAAACUAGAAGUUUAAUAGUUCUGCGUGAUUAAUUUUGGCGGGUCAAGUCACUGGAUUAGUUUAGAAAUACCAGAAGGGAAGACUUGCUGAAAGUGACAGGCCGGCUUUUAUGUCUAACACAUUCUUUCCAGGUCGUUUCCGAAACAGACCUUGCUUGGGAAAUAUGAAUUAAGAAAUUACCAUUCUUGAAACAGUUUAGGAUUUGAUCUGCGAACGAAGUGUUGGGUGACUUUGCUCGCAAUGACAACCACAGAUUCAACACCAUUAAGGGUGCGUUUGGAAUUGAGGUUGGACAAUUGUAACUUAAAAAUAUAACAUUAAAGUAUUUAGUAAACACUAAUUGUUGUAGUUUAAAAAUUAUGUUGAUAUGAUUUUUCACUUGUAUACUAGAAAAUGUAU
This 1018-nucleotide long non-coding RNA is filed under the name Citrus x clementina. RNAcentral's name for it is "Citrus clementina (C. clementina) long non-coding RNA (CCLE_LNC003276)". The record is from RNAcentral. Lineage: Eukaryota; Viridiplantae; Streptophyta; Magnoliopsida; Sapindales; Rutaceae.